This 384-nucleotide ribosomal RNA is filed under the name uncultured eukaryote. Its description in RNAcentral is "SSU rRNA". It matches the Rfam family "Eukaryotic small subunit ribosomal RNA", at positions 587 to 972 of the family's 1831-position model. The record is from RNAcentral.
AGCUCCAAUAGCGUAUAUUAAAGUUGUUGCAGUUAAAAAGCUCGUAGUUGGAUCUCGGGCACCAGCAGGCGGUACGCUUUAUUGCUGUUACUACUUGUCUGGUCCUAAUCAAUCGGUUGGCCGUUGAUGCCCUUUAUUGGGUGUUUUUGGUAGCCGAUACGUUUACUUUGAGAAAAUUAGAGUGCUUAAAGCAGGCUUUACGCCUGAAUAAUGUUGCAUGGAAUAAUAGAAUAGGACCUCGGUUCUAUUUUGUUGGUUUUGUAGAGCAUUGAGGUAAUGAUUAAUAGGGACAGACGGGGGCAUUCGUAUUGCGGUGUUAGAGGUGAAAUUCUUGGAUCGCCGCAAGACGAACAACUGCGAAAGCAUUUGCCAAGAAUGUUUUCA